CGGUUUUUAUGUUCCUCUUGACUUAUCCCUGGAUCAAAACAUCUUGGCAAAGACAAGUAUAUUAUACCAAAAUAAAGGGAUUUAUAAAAUGAUAUAAACAUAGAACAAUUAACCCUUAAAUCAGUUGUGGCAGCAAGAACUUCUUGUUCUUUCUUUGCCUUGUACUCACCUUGGUUUCCUGUAAUAAUUUCACUUUUCCUUGGACAAGACAAGUGCAUUAAUCUUGUCAUGGAAUUAAUAAUAUCAUGAUGAUCUAUAGUGAAAUUUAUCUCAGGUUUUGGCACUUGAACAAUCUUUUGUUCAGAUUUCGGUUUCCACUUGUGGUGUGGAUUUUGAUUGAGAUC
RNAcentral lists this long non-coding RNA (344 nucleotides) under Brassica napus (rape). Its description in RNAcentral is "long non-coding RNA (BNAP_LNC021656)". Lineage: Eukaryota; Viridiplantae; Streptophyta; Magnoliopsida; Brassicales; Brassicaceae. The record is from RNAcentral.